Small nucleolar RNA from Humulus lupulus (European hop), 106 nucleotides. NCBI's taxonomy places the organism in Eukaryota, Viridiplantae, Streptophyta, Magnoliopsida, Rosales, Cannabaceae. The record is from RefSeq and is a predicted model, not a curated record.
AUCCCAUGAUGAGGACAUUUCCCAGAAAUUCCUUGAACCUUUCCCACGCAUCAUACAUGGAUUAUUUGUCAUUCUAAAGGAAAUUGUUUAUCUCACCCCUUAACCU